Molecule: long non-coding RNA, 771 nt
Filed under: Brassica rapa (field mustard)
Lineage: Eukaryota; Viridiplantae; Streptophyta; Magnoliopsida; Brassicales; Brassicaceae
Description: long non-coding RNA (BRAP_LNC006373)
Source: RNAcentral
GACAUAUGUAUUAUUCCACGUUACUAAUUGUAUUUAUUGCACAUCCAAUCCUUUUUAAAUUCCAUAACAAAAUAUUAUGUUAUUGUAUGAUGAUAUACUUAAGCUUAAGAGAAAAAGACAAAAAUAACACUAAAUCAAGUUUUUGUUCUCAAACUAGCAGGUCAAAAGUCACAAAAAUAGCACUUAAUGUUUUAUCAAAAGAAAUAAAUAAAUGUUUAUACCACUAUGGUAAAUUAGUGUAGACAUUAGGGUUUAGAGUUAAGGGGUGGGGUUUAGGAUUUAGGGUUUAAGGUUUAGAGUUUAGGGUUUAGGGUUUAGAGUUUAGGUUUUAGGGUUUAGAGUUGGAAAUUGGAAUUUUGGGGAUAAGAUUUCAAAUUUUGAAAAAUAAAAAAAAAUUAAAUUUUUCAAAAGAUAAAAUGCUAUUUUGGUCAUUUUAGUUUUUGAGUGCUAUUUUUGUGAUAUAAACUUAAAAAUAUGCUAUUUUGGAGAUUUGCCCUGUAUAUGAUAACAAAUUCAAAUUGAACUAAACCAUAAUCGAGUCGAAUUAAACCAAACAGAAGCAUAACCAAAUUAUUAUUUUUGGACAUAGUGAACAUUUAUAAAAUCCUAUAUAAUUGUGAUAACGAAAAUUUAAUGAACCAGUAAUGGUCUCAUUUAUAAAUUCAGACUUCUUUUCCAACCAAAAGAAAAAAAAAACAGAACCAAAAAAGAAAAAAAUACGUCAGGUAACUGGUCUAAAAUUGCAUCUGACGAAGUUUAUAAACACACGCG